Molecule: ribosomal RNA, 253 nt
Filed under: uncultured bacterium
Lineage: Bacteria
Description: partial 16S ribosomal RNA
Rfam family: Bacterial small subunit ribosomal RNA
Source: RNAcentral
UACAGAGGAGCCAAGCGUUGUCCGGAUUGACUGGGCGUAAAGCGCACGCAGGCGGAUGCGCGCGUGGGGUGUGAAAUCUGGCCGCUUAACGGCCAGGCGCCAUCCCAUACGGCGCGUCUGGAGUGAUGCAGAGGUCGGUGGAAUUGCCGGUGUAGUGGUGAAAUGCGUAGAGAUCGGGAGGAAGGCCGGUGGCGAAGGCGGCGCUCUGGAACAUUUCUGACGCUGAGGCUCGAAAGCGUGGGGAGCAAACAGG